AAAAGCCUAUAGAAGACUGUUUAAAAAAAACAUUAGGCAUUACAUCAAUGUAUUCUAAAGCAUGAAUAUAGUAUAUGUAGUAAUAUAUGAUGUGAUAAUACUUAAGCUUUUGAAUACUUGGGACUGUUAUGGUAGAGUAUAACUAAUUCAUAUUUAUAAAAACCUAGUAAGGACUGUUUUAUUAUUAGAAACUGAACUAACUUCGACAAGCAUGCUAGUGUAUAUGGUAUUAAGUUUUAAUGAUGAUUUAUAGUUUGUUUAAGGGCUUAAAGGUCCCUUGAGUCCUAUGUUGGGACUAUUUGUGAAUAAAUG
Molecule: long non-coding RNA, 312 nt
Filed under: Panax ginseng (ginseng)
Lineage: Eukaryota; Viridiplantae; Streptophyta; Magnoliopsida; Apiales; Araliaceae
Description: long non-coding RNA (PGIN_LNC019195)
Source: RNAcentral